UGGGGAAUAUUGCACAAUGGGCGCAAGCCUGAUGCAGCCAUGCCGCGUGUGUGAAGAAGGCCUUCGGGUUGUAAAGCACUUUCAGCGAGGAGGAAGGUGGUGAACUUAAUACGUUCAUCAAUUGACGUUACUCGCAGAAGAAGCACCGGCUAACUCCGUGCCAGCAGCCGCGGUAAUACGGAGGGUGCAAGCGUUAAUCGGAAUUACUGGGCGUAAAGCGCACGCAGGCGGUUUGUUAAGUCAGAUGUGAAAUCCCCGGGCUCAACCUGGGAACUGCAUUUGAAACUGGCAAGCUAGAGUCUCGUAGAGGGGGGUAGAAUUCCAGGUGUAGCGGUGAAAUGCGUAGAGAUCUGGAGGAAUACCGGUGGCGAAGGCGGCCCCCUGGACGAAGACUGACGCUCAGGUGCGAAAGCGUGGGGGGCAAACAGGAUUAGAUACCCUGGUAGUCCACCGCUGUAAACGAUGUCGAUUUGGAGGUUGUGCCCUUGAGGCGUGGCUUCCGGAGCUAACGCGUUAAAUCGACCGCC
This 527-nucleotide ribosomal RNA is filed under the name uncultured bacterium. RNAcentral's name for it is "partial 16S ribosomal RNA". It matches the Rfam family "Bacterial small subunit ribosomal RNA", at positions 355 to 873 of the family's 1533-position model. The record is from RNAcentral.